Molecule: transfer RNA, 71 nt
Filed under: Bacteroidales bacterium
Lineage: Bacteria; Pseudomonadati; Bacteroidota; Bacteroidia; Bacteroidales
Also listed under: 1 other name
Description: tRNA-Gln
Rfam family: tRNA
About the family: Transfer RNA (tRNA) molecules are approximately 80 nucleotides in length. Their secondary structure includes four short double-helical elements and three loops (D, anti-codon, and T loops).
Source: RNAcentral
UGUCCUGUGGUGUAAUGGUAGCACUCCAGAUUCUGGCUCUGUCAGUGAGGGUUCGAAUCCUUCCAGGACAA